GAAACAGGUGUCAUCCUGAGUUGCAGCGACACCAUCAGGUUUGGUUUGAGUCGAGCUGAGACGGGCCGCUUCAGACAGCUGAAACUUUUCUCUGCGACGUUCUAAAAUGUUUUUGCGAAACUUUGGUCUGAACUGGGCUUUACUAACUCUUGCAAAUAAUUCAGUGCAUUGUUUGGGUAAAUUUGCAAGAGGCCUAAGUCUUAUAAUUUCAUAAUUUCAACUUCCUGGAGGGACUGAUCUACUAUUA
Molecule: long non-coding RNA, 247 nt
Organism: Sander lucioperca (pikeperch)
Lineage: Eukaryota; Metazoa; Chordata; Actinopteri; Perciformes; Percidae
Exons: 3
Source: RefSeq, a predicted model, not a curated record